RNAcentral lists this ribosomal RNA (500 nucleotides) under uncultured bacterium. Its description in RNAcentral is "partial 16S ribosomal RNA". It matches the Rfam family "Bacterial small subunit ribosomal RNA", at positions 30 to 523 of the family's 1533-position model. The record is from RNAcentral.
AUUGAACGCUGGCGGCAUGCCUUACACAUGCAAGUCGAACGGCAGCACGGGAGCAAUCCUGGUGGCGAGUGGCGAACGGGUGAGUAAAGUAUCGGAACGUGCCCAGUCGUGGGGGAUAACGUAGCGAAAGUUACGCUAAUACCGCAUACGAUCUAUGGAUGAAAGCGGGGGAUCGCAAGACCUCGCGCGAUUGGAGCGGCCGAUAUCAGAUUAGGUAGUUGGUGGGGUAAGGGCUCACCAAGCCGACGAUCAGCAGCUGGUCUGAGAGGACGACCAGCCACACUGGGACUGAGACACGGCCCAGACUCCUACGGGAGGCAGCAGUGGGGAAUUUUGGACAAUGGGCGCAAGCCUGAUCCAGCCAUGCCGCGUGCAGGAUGAAGGCCUUCGGGUUGUAAACUGCUUUUGUACGGAACGAAAAGGUUUGACUUAAUACGUUGGACUCAUGACGGUACCGUAAGAAUAAGCACCGGCUAACUACGUGCCAGCCGCCGCCGUAA